This 460-nucleotide ribosomal RNA is filed under the name uncultured bacterium. RNAcentral describes it as "partial 16S ribosomal RNA". It matches the Rfam family "Bacterial small subunit ribosomal RNA", at positions 338 to 795 of the family's 1533-position model. The record is from RNAcentral.
CCUACGGGCGGCAGCAGUGAGGAAUAUUGGUCAAUGGGCGGGAGCCUGAACCAGCCAAGUCGCGUGAGGGAAGACGGUCCUAUGGAUUGUAAACCUCUUUAGGCGGGGAGCAAUGCCGGGCACGCGUGCCCGGAGGGAGAGUACCCGCAGAAUAAGCCUCGGCUAACUCCGUGCCAGCAGCCGCGGUAAUACGGAGGGUGCGAGCGUUAUCCGGAUUUAUUGGGUUGAAAGGGUGCGGAGGCGGAUUUUUAAGUCAGCGGUAAAAUGUCCGGGCUCAACCCGGGCCGGCCGUUGAAACGGGGGAUCUUGAGUGGGCGAGAAGUAUGCGGAAUGCGUGGUGUAGCGGUGAAAUGCAUAGAUAUCACGCAGAACUCCGAUUGCGAAGGCAGCCGUCCGGCGCCCUACUGACGCUGAGGCACGAAAGUGCGGGGAUCGAACAGGAUUAGAUACCCUUGUAGUC